GGGUUGUGAGGUUAAGCGACUAAGCGUACACGGUGGAUGCCCUGGCAGUCAGAGGCGAUGAAGGGCGUGCUAAUCUGCGAUAAGCGCCGGUAAGGUGAUAUGAACCGUUAUAACCGGCGAUACCCGAAUGGGGAAACCCAGUGUGAUUGGUCACACUAUCAUUAACUGAAUCCAUAGGUUAAUGAGGCGAACCGGGGGAACUGAAACAUCUAAGUACCCCGAGGAAAAGAAAUCAACCGAGAUUCCCCCAGUAGCGGCGAGCGAACGGGGAGGAGCCCAGAGCCUGAAUCAGCAUGUGUGUUAGUGGAAGCGUCUGGAAGGCGCGCGAUACAGGGUGACAGCCCCGUACACAAAAGCGCAUGUGCUGUGAGCUCGAUGAGUAGGGCGGGACACGUGGUAUCCUGUCUGAAUAUGGGGGGACCAUCCUCCAAGGCUAAAUACUCCUGACUGACCGAUAGUGAACCAGUACCGUGAGGGAAAGGCGAAAAGAACCCCGGCGAGGGGAGUGAAAAAGAACCUGAAACCGUGUACGUACAAGCAGUGGGAGCACCCUUCGGGGUGUGACUGCGUACCUUUUGUAUAAUGGGUCAGCGACUUAUAUUCUGUAGCAAGGUUAACCGUAUAGGGGAGCCGGAGGGAAACCGAGUCUUAACCGGGCGUUAAGUUGCAGGGUAUAGACCCGAAACCCGGUGAUCUAGCCAUGGGCAGGUUGAAGGUUGGGUAACACUAACUGGAGGACCGAACCGACUAAUGUUGAAAAAUUAGCGGAUGACCUGUGGCUGGGGGUGAAAGGCCAAUCAAACCGGGAGAUAGCUGGUUCUCCCCGAAAGCUAUUUAGGUAGCGCCUCGUGAAUUCAUCUCCGGGGGUAGAGCACUGUUUCGGCUAGGGGGCCAUCCCGGCUUACCAACCCGAUGCAAACUGCGAAUACCGGAGAAUGUUAUCACGGGAGACACACGGCGGGUGCUAACGUCCGUCGUGAAGAGGGAAACAACCCAGACCGCCAGCUAAGGUCCCAAAGUCAUGGUUAAGUGGGAAACGAUGUGGGAAGGCCCAGACAGCCAGGAUGUUGGCUUAGAAGCAGCCAUCAUUUAAAGAAAGCGUAAUAGCUCACUGGUCGAGUCGGCCUGCGCGGAAGAUGUAACGGGGCUAAACCAUGCACCGAAGCUGCGGCAGCGAACGUAUCACCCAAGACAACUUUACGGAGUUGACGAUUGACGGAGCGAAGCGACGUCAAAGCGUUCAUUAAAGUCGAGUUGGCUUAGGGAUACGUUCGUUGGGUAGGGGCGUUCUGUAAGCCUGUGAAGGUGUGUCGUGAGGCAUGCUGGAGGUAUCAGAAGUGCGAAUGCUGACAUAAGUAACGAUAAAGCGGGUGAAAAGCCCGCUCGCCGGAAGACCAAGGGUUCCUGUCCAACGUUAAUCGGGGCAGGGUGAGUCGACCCCUAAGGCGAGGCCGAAAGGCGUAGUCGAUGGGAAACGGGUUAAUAUUCCCGUACUUGGUGUUACUGCGAAGGGGGGACGGAGAAGGCUAUGUUGGCCGGGCGACGGUUGUCCCGGUUUAAGCGUGUAGGUGUGUGUUCGUAAAUCCGGUUCACUUUAACACUGAGGCGUGACGACGAGGCACUACGGUGCUGAAGCAACAAAUGCCCUGCUUCCAGGAAAAGCCUCUAAGCAUCAGGUAACAUCAAAUCGUACCCCAAACCGACACAGGUGGUCAGGUAGAGAAUACCAAGGCGCUUGAGAGAACUCGGGUGAAGGAACUAGGCAAAAUGGUGCCGUAACUUCGGGAGAAGGCACGCUGACACGUAGGUGAAGUGAUUUACUCAUGGAGCUGAAGUCAGUCGAAGAUACCAGCUGGCUGCAACUGUUUAUUAAAAACACAGCACUGUGCAAACACGAAAGUGGACGUAUACGGUGUGACGCCUGCCCGGUGCCGGAAGGUUAAUUGAUGGGGUCAGCGUAAGCGAAGCUCCUGAUCGAAGCCCCGGUAAACGGCGGCCGUAACUAUAACGGUCCUAAGGUAGCGAAAUUCCUUGUCGGGUAAGUUCCGACCUGCACGAAUGGCGUAAUGAUGGCCAGGCUGUCUCCACCCGAGACUCAGUGAAAUUGAACUCGCUGUGAAGAUGCAGUGUACCCGCGGCAAGACGGAAAGACCCCGUGAACCUUUACUAUAGCUUGACACUGAACAUUGAGCCUUGAUGUGUAGGAUAGGUGGGAGGCUUUGAAGUGUGGACGCCAGUCUGCAUGGAGCCGACCUUGAAAUACCACCCUUUAAUGUUUGAUGUUCUAACGUGGACCCGUAAUCCGGGUUGCGGACAGUGUCUGGUGGGUAGUUUGACUGGGGCGGUCUCCUCCUAAAGAGUAACGGAGGAGCACGAAGGUUGGCUAAUCCUGGUCGGACAUCAGGAGGUUAGUGCAAUGGCAUAAGCCAGCUUGACUGCGAGCGUGACGGCGCGAGCAGGUGCGAAAGCAGGUCAUAGUGAUCCGGUGGUUCUGAAUGGAAGGGCCAUCGCUCAACGGAUAAAAGGUACUCCGGGGAUAACAGGCUGAUACCGCCCAAGAGUUCAUAUCGACGGCGGUGUUUGGCACCUCGAUGUCGGCUCAUCACAUCCUGGGGCUGAAGUAGGUCCCAAGGGUAUGGCUGUUCGCCAUUUAAAGUGGUACGCGAGCUGGGUUUAGAACGUCGUGAGACAGUUCGGUCCCUAUCUGCCGUGGGCGCUGGAGAACUGAGGGGGGCUGCUCCUAGUACGAGAGGACCGGAGUGGACGCAUCACUGGUGUUCGGGUUGUCAUGCCAAUGGCACUGCCCGGUAGCUAAAUGCGGAAGAGAUAAGUGCUGAAAGCAUCUAAGCACGAAACUUGCCCCGAGAUGAGUUCUCCCUGAGACUUAGAGUCUCCUGAAGGAACGUUGAAGACGACGACGUUGAUAGGCCGGGUGUGUAAGCGCAGCGAUGCGUUGAGCUAACCGGUACUAAUGAACCGUGAGGCUUAACCUUACAACGCCGAAG
This 3005-nucleotide ribosomal RNA is filed under the name Salmonella enterica subsp. enterica serovar Typhimurium. RNAcentral describes it as "23S ribosomal RNA". It matches the Rfam family "Bacterial large subunit ribosomal RNA". Lineage: Bacteria; Pseudomonadati; Pseudomonadota; Gammaproteobacteria; Enterobacterales; Enterobacteriaceae. The record is from RNAcentral.